CAAAUUCAUUUUGGAACUGAACUCUCGUGGGUCUGCAGUGCACUGACCGUUGUGUUUGUUCAUUCAUUGACAUUUGAAAAUUUGUAGCACCAUGAGAUUCAGCUCUGGCGUGAAUUUC
RNAcentral lists this microRNA precursor (118 nucleotides) under Drosophila busckii. RNAcentral describes it as "mir-998 microRNA precursor family". It matches the Rfam family "mir-998 microRNA precursor family". The record is from Rfam by way of RNAcentral. Lineage: Eukaryota; Metazoa; Arthropoda; Insecta; Diptera; Drosophilidae.